CGGCGAACGGGUGAGUAAUGCUUUGGAAUCUUCCCAGUAGUGGGGAAUAACCAGUCGAAAGAUUGGCUAAUACCGCAUACGUCCGAAAGGGGAAAGCGGGGGCUCGUAAGACCUCGCGCUAUUGGAUGAGCCAAAGUCGGAUUAGCUAGUUGGUGGGGUAAUGGCCUACCAAGGCGACAAUCCGUAGCUGGUCUGAGAGGACGACCAGCCACACCGGAACUGAGACACGGUCCGG
Molecule: ribosomal RNA, 235 nt
Filed under: uncultured bacterium
Lineage: Bacteria
Description: partial 16S ribosomal RNA
Rfam family: Bacterial small subunit ribosomal RNA
Source: RNAcentral